This 40-nucleotide transfer RNA is filed under the name Scaphiophryne sp. TNHC-GDC 14371. RNAcentral describes it as "partial tRNA-Phe". Lineage: Eukaryota; Metazoa; Chordata; Amphibia; Anura; Microhylidae. The record is from RNAcentral.
CUGAAGAUGCUGAGAUGGGCCCUAAAAAGUUCUGCAGGCA